GUCUACUAGUUGUCGGGUUUUAAUUAACUUGGUAACGCAGCUAACGCGUGAAGUAGACCGCCUGGGGAGUACGGUCGCAAGAUUAAAACUCAAAGGAAUUGACGGGGACCCGCACAAGCGGUGGAUGAUGUGGAUUAAUUCGAUGCAACGCGAAAAACCUUACCUACCCUUGACAUGUACGGAAGGCCGAAGAGAUUUGGCUGUGCUCGAAAGAGAACCGUAACACAGGUGCUGCAUGGCUGUCGUCAGCUCGUGUCGUGAGAUGUUGGGUUAAGUCCCGCAACGAGCGCAACCCUUGUCAUUAGUUGCUACGAAAGGGCACUCUAAUGAGACUGCCGGUGACAAACCGGAGGAAGGUGGGGAUGACGUCAAGUCCUCAUGGCCCUUAUGGGUAGGGCUUCACACGUCAUACAAUGGUACAUACAGAGCGCCGCCAACCCGCGAGGGGGAGCUAAUCGCAGAAAGUGUAUCGUAGUCCGGAUUGUAGUCUGCAACUCGACUACAUGAAGUUGGAAUCGCUAGUAAUCGCGGAUCAGCAUGUCGCGGUGAAUACGUUCCCGGGUCUUGUACACACCGCCCGUCACACCAUGGGAGCGGGUUUUACCAGAAGUAGGUAGCUUAACCGCAAGGAGGGCGCUUACCACGGUAGGAUUCGUGACUGGGGUGAAGUCGUAACAAGGUAGCCGUAUCGGAAGGUGC
Molecule: ribosomal RNA, 699 nt
Filed under: uncultured bacterium
Lineage: Bacteria
Description: bacterial SSU rRNA
Rfam family: Bacterial small subunit ribosomal RNA
Source: RNAcentral